RNAcentral lists this ribosomal RNA (425 nucleotides) under uncultured bacterium. RNAcentral describes it as "partial 16S ribosomal RNA". It matches the Rfam family "Bacterial small subunit ribosomal RNA", at positions 354 to 796 of the family's 1533-position model. The record is from RNAcentral.
GUGGGGAAUCUUAGACAAUGGGCGCAAGCCUGAUCUAGCCAUGCCGCGUGAGCGAUGAAGGCCUUAGGGUUGUAAAGCUCUUUCGCUGGGGAAGAUAAUGACUGUACCCAGUAAAGAAGCCCCGGCUAACUCCGUGCCAGCAGCCGCGGUAAUACGGAGGGGGCUAGCGUUGUUCGGAAUUACUGGGCGUAAAGCGCGCGUAGGCGGAUUGGAAAGUUGGGGGUGAAAUCCCGGGGCUCAACCUCGGAACUGCCUUCAAAACUCCCAGUCUUGAGUUCGAGAGAGGUGAGUGGAAUUCCGAGUGUAGAGGUGAAAUUCGUAGAUAUUCGGAAGAACACCAGUGGCGAAGGCGACUCACUGGCCCGUUACUGACGCUGAGGCGCGAAAGCGUGGGGAGCAAACAGGAUUAGAUACCCGAGUAGUCC